AUCUAUACUGUGAAACUGCGAAUGGCUCAUUAAAUCAGUUAUCGUUUAUUUGAUAGUACCUUACUACUUGGAUAACCGUGGUAAUUCUAGAGCUAAUACAUGCUAAAAACCCCGACUUCGGAAGGGGUGUAUUUAUUAGAUAAAAAACCAAUGCCCUUCGGGGCUCCUUGGUGAAUCAUGAUAACUUAACGAAUCGCAUGGCCUUGCGCCGGCGAUGGUUCAUUCAAAUUUCUGCCCUAUCAACUUUCGAUGGUAGGAUAGUGGCCUACCAUGGUAGCAACGGGUAACGGGGAAUUAGGGUUCUAUUCCGGAGAGGGAGCCUGAGAAACGGCUACCACAUCCAAGGAAGGCAGCAGGCGCGCAAAUUACCCAAUCCCGACACGGGGAGGUAGUGACAAUAAAUACUGAUACAGGGCUCUUUCGAGUCUUGUAAUUGGAAUGAGUACAAUUUAAAUACCUUAACGAGGAACAAUUGGAGGGCAAGUCUGGUGCCAGCAGCCGCGGUAAUUCCAGCUCCAAUAGCGUAUAUUAAAGUUGUUGCAGUUAAAAAGCUCGUAGUUGAACCUUGGGCCUGGCUGGCCGGUCCGCCUCACCGCGUGUACUGGUCCGGCCGGGCCUUUCCUUCUGGGGAUCCGCAUGCCCUUCACUGGGUGUGUCGGGGAACCAGGACUUUUACUUUGAAAAAAUUAGAGUGUUCAAAGCAGGCCUUUGCUCGAAUACAUUAGCAUGGAAUAAUAGAAUAGGACGUGCGGUCCUAUUUUGUUGGUUUCUAGGACCGCCGUAAUGAUUAAUAGGGAUAGUCGGGGGCAUCAGUAUUCAAUUGUCAGAGGUGAAAUUCUUGGAUUUAUUGAAGACUAACUACUGCGAAAGCAUUUGCCAAGGAUGUUUUCAUUAAUCAGUGAACGAAAGUUAGGGGAUCGAAGACGAUCAGAUACCGUCGUAGUCUUAACCGUAAACUAUGCCGACUAGGGAUCGGGCGAUGUUAUUAUUUUGACUCGCUCGGCACCUUACGAGAAAUCAAAGUCU
This 1026-nucleotide ribosomal RNA is filed under the name Phyllosticta podocarpi. RNAcentral's name for it is "SSU rRNA". It matches the Rfam family "Eukaryotic small subunit ribosomal RNA", at positions 72 to 1106 of the family's 1831-position model. Lineage: Eukaryota; Fungi; Ascomycota; Dothideomycetes; Botryosphaeriales; Phyllostictaceae. The record is from RNAcentral. RNAcentral also lists the same sequence under 1 other name.